Molecule: non-coding RNA, 357 nt
Organism: Chrysochloris asiatica (Cape golden mole)
Lineage: Eukaryota; Metazoa; Chordata; Mammalia; Afrosoricida; Chrysochloridae
Source: the annotation of a RefSeq genome assembly
AUGAGCCCCCAGUUCUUCAGCUCUGUGGUCCUGUGCCUCCUGGGAGCAGGCCCCCUGGAGUCAGCCGUCUCCCAGAGCCCCCGGUACCUUGUGAGUCUGACAGGAAGCCGGAGGUCCCUGAGCUGUGAACAGAACCUGGGCCACCAAGCCAUGUACUGGUAUAGGCAGGACUCCAUGCAGCCACUCAGGGUCAUGUUCAGUUACAACAAUAGGGACCUCAUUGUCAAUGAGUCUGUUCCCAGCCGCUUCUUCCCGCAAUAUCCGGACAACGCUCACCUGAACCUCCACAUUGACCUCCUGGAGCCGGGGGACUCGGCUGUGUACCUGUGUGCCAGCAGCAGAGACACAGAGCUGUGA